UCCCAGACUCCUACGGGAGGCAGCAGUGGGGAAUAUUGCACAAUGGGGGAAACCCUGAUGCAGCGACGCCGCGUGAGCGAUGAAGUAUUUCGGUAUGUAAAGCUCUAUCAGCAGGGAAGAAAAUGACGGUACCUGACUAAGAAGCCCCGGCUAACUACGUGCCAGCAGCCGCGGUAAUACGUAGGGGGCAAGCGUUAUCCGGAUUUACUGGGCGUAAAGGGCGCGUAGGUGGGCGCUUAAGUCAGGUGUGAAAACUCCGGGCUCAACCUGGAGACUGCACUUGAAACUGGGUGUCUUGAGGGCAGGAGAGGAAAGUGGAAUUCCUAGUGUAGCGGUGAAAUGCGUAGAUAUUAAGAGGAACACCAGUGGCGAAGGCGGCUUACUGGACUGUAACUGACGUUGAGGCUCGAAAGCGUGGGGAGCAAACAGGAUUAGAUACCCUGGUAA
RNAcentral lists this ribosomal RNA (447 nucleotides) under uncultured bacterium. Its description in RNAcentral is "bacterial SSU rRNA". It matches the Rfam family "Bacterial small subunit ribosomal RNA", at positions 329 to 793 of the family's 1533-position model. The record is from RNAcentral.